ACUCAAAUGAAUUGACGGGGGCCCGCACAAGCAGUGGAGCAUGUGGUUUAAUUCGAAGCAACGCGAAGAACCUUACCAGGGCUUGACAUCCCUCUGACGCAUGCAGAGAUGCAUGUUCCCUUUUGGGCAGAGGAGACAGGUGGUGCAUGGUUGUCGUCAGCUCGUGUCGUGAGAUGUUGGGUUAAGUCCCGCAACGAGCGCAACCCUUGACCUGUGUUACCAGCGCGUGAUGGCGGGGACUCACAGGUGACUGCCGGCGUAAGUCGGAGGAAGGCGGGGAUGACGUCAAAUCAUCAUGCCCCUUAUGCCCUGGGCUACACACGUGCUACAAUGGGCGGGACAACGGGAAGCGAAGGAGCGAUCCGGAGCGAAACCCUGAAAACCGUCCUCAGUUCGGAUUGCAGGCUGCAACUCGCCUGCAUGAAGCCGGAAUUGCUAGUAAUCGCGGAUCAGCAUGCCGCGGUGAAUACGUUCCCGGGCCUUGUACACACCGCCCGU
Molecule: ribosomal RNA, 498 nt
Filed under: uncultured bacterium
Lineage: Bacteria
Description: partial 16S ribosomal RNA
Rfam family: Bacterial small subunit ribosomal RNA
Source: RNAcentral